CUUCAACUGCGGAGCGCGCCAGGCGGGACAUAUUGGAUCCCGAACAGGCUUUACCAGGGGUGUCUGCCUCAUCGUGGUGAGCCAGGCCCGGAACAUCUUCACCGGGAGGCCAGAAGCGAUGAAACUGGUGCCCCACCUAGCUGCUUGGCUAGGGGUUCAGCGUUUCCGCCAGCGGCUCGGCGGUUGAGGU
RNAcentral lists this non-coding RNA (190 nucleotides) under Deltaproteobacteria bacterium. Its description in RNAcentral is "6S RNA". It matches the Rfam family "6S / SsrS RNA". Rfam says of the family: E. coli 6S RNA was the first non coding RNA to be sequenced, but its function was unknown until recently. It consists of 184 nucleotides that fold into an extended hairpin structure with a large single-stranded internal bulge. Lineage: Bacteria; Pseudomonadati; Myxococcota; Myxococcia. The record is from RNAcentral.